AGAAAUGAUCAACAAGCUAGGUUACUGUAGAGAGAGAGAAUGAUCAACAGCUAGGUUACUGUAGAGAGAAUGAUCAACAGCUAGGUUACUGUAGAGAGAAUGAUCAACAGCUAGGUUACUGUAGAGAGAGAGAAUGAUCAACAGCUAGGUUACUGUAGAGAGAAUGAUCAACAGCUAGGUUACUGUAGAGAGAGAGAAUGAUCAACAGCUAGGUUACUGUAGAGAGAAUGAUCAACAGCUAGGUUACUGUAGAGAGAAUGAUCAACAGCUAGGUUACUGUAGAGUGAGAAUGAUCAACAGCUAGGUUACUGUAGAGAGAGAGAAUGAUCAACAGCUAGGUUACUGUAGAGAGAAUGAUCAACAGCUAGGUUACUGUAGAGAGAGAGGAAUGAUCAACAGCUAGGUUACUGUAGAGAGAGAGAAUGAUCAACAGCUAGGUUACUGUAGAGAGAGAGAAUGAUCAACAGCUAGGUUAGUGUAGAGAGAGAGAAUGAUCAACAGCUAGGUUACUGUAGAGAGAGAGAAUGAUCAACAGCUAGGUUACUGUAGAGAGAGAGAAUGAUCAACAGCUAGGUUAGUGUAGAGAGAGAGAAUGAUCAACAGCUAGGUUACUGUAGAGAGAGAGAGAAUGAUCAACAGCUAGGUUACUGUAGAGAGAGAGAAUGAUCAACAGCUAGGUUACUGUAGAGAGAGAGAAUGAUCAACAGCUAGGUUACUGUAGAGAGAGAGAAUGAUCAACAGCUAGGUUACUGUAGAGAGAGAGAAUGUUCAACAGCUAGGUUACUGUAGAGAGAGGAGAAUGAUCAACAGCUAGGUUACUGUAGAGAGAGAGAAUGAUCAACAGCUAGGUUACUGUAGAGAGAGAAUGAUCAACAGCUAGGUUACUGUAGAGAGAGAGAAUGAUCAACAGCUAGGUUACUGUAGAGAGAGAGAGAAUGAUCAAGAGCUAGGUUACUUGUAGAGAGAGAGAAUGAUCAACAGCUAGGUUACUGUAGAGAGAGAGAAUGAUCAACAGCUAGGUUACUGUAGAGAGAGAAUGAUCAACAGCUAGGUUACUGUAGAGAGAGAAUGAUCAACAGCUAGGUUACUGUAGAGAGAAUGAUCAACAGCUAGGUUACUGUAGAGAGAGAGAAUGUUCAACAGCUAGGUUACUGUAGAGAGAGAGAAUGAUCAACAGCUAGGUUACUGUAGAGAGAGAGAAUGAUCAACAGCUAGGUUACUGUAGAGAGAGAAUGAUCAACAGCUAGGUUACUGUAGAGAGAGAGAAUGAUCAACAGCUAGGUUACUGUAGAGAGAGAGAGAAUGAUCAAGAGCUAGGUUACUGUAGAGAGAGAGAAUGAUCAACAGCUAGGUUACUGUAGAGAGAGAGAAUGUUCA
Molecule: long non-coding RNA, 1377 nt
Filed under: Oncorhynchus kisutch (coho salmon)
Lineage: Eukaryota; Metazoa; Chordata; Actinopteri; Salmoniformes; Salmonidae
Description: lncRNA (ENSOKIG00005049995.1)
Source: RNAcentral